CUUCCGUAGGUGAACCUGCGGAAGGAUCAUUACAGUAUUCUUUUGCCAGCGCUUAACUGCGCGGCGAAAAACCUUACACACAGUGUCUUUUUGAUACAGAACUCUUGCUUUGGUUUGGCCUAGAGAUAGGUUGGGCCAGAGGUUUAACAAAACACAAUUUAAUUAUUUUUACAGUUAGUCAAAUUUUGAAUUAAUCUUCAAAACUUUCAACAACGGAUCUCUUGGUUCUCGCAUCGAUGAAGAACGCAGCGAAAUGCGAUAAGUAAUAUGAAUUGCAGAUUUUCGUGAAUCAUCGAAUCUUUGAACGCACAUUGCGCCCUCUGGUAUUCCAGAGGGCAUGCCUGUUUGAGCGUCAUUUCUCUCUCAAACCCCCGGGUUUGGUAUUGAGUGAUACUCUUAGUCGGACUAGGCGUUUGCUUGAAAAGUAUUGGCAUGGGUAGUACUAGAUAGUGCUGUCGACCUCUCAAUGUAUUAGGUUUAUCCAACUCGUUGAAUGGUGUGGCGGGAUUUUUCUCUAUUGUUGGCCCGCCCUUACAACAACCAAACAAGUUGCCGC
Molecule: ribosomal RNA, 556 nt
Filed under: Meyerozyma guilliermondii
Lineage: Eukaryota; Fungi; Ascomycota; Pichiomycetes; Serinales; Debaryomycetaceae
Description: eukaryotic LSU rRNA
Rfam family: 5.8S ribosomal RNA (bases 202-355)
Source: RNAcentral